This is a long non-coding RNA of Cyprinus carpio carpio, 1071 nucleotides long. The record is from Ensembl. Lineage: Eukaryota; Metazoa; Chordata; Actinopteri; Cypriniformes; Cyprinidae.
GUAAGUAUUCUGAUUAAUUAUUUUGUAUAGUAUUUUAAAAUGUAACGCCAGUACGCCAUAUCUCUUGACGUCUCCCCGGUUGCCUGCGAGCUCCUCCUCCUGUCUGUACGGUAAUUUCUCUACUGUGCGACAGAGAGUCGAGUGGUUAUGACGCAAUCGUUAGCCUAUUUUUACAAAAACUGUUUCUACGGGGCCAUAAUGUAACAUAGAAGGUAAUGGAGCCCUUUAUACAUUGUCGUGUAUCUUUAGAAAUAAAUAAUGGACAAAUGGAGUCUUUAAACGCCUCAGAUGUAAAGUUAUUCGCUGUCAAAGUGACGCCAAAAAUGAAUGGGAGUCAAUGGGAUGCUAACAGCAGGUGAAGUUCUGCUACAAGAUGGCGGCACGCGGCCGACUUCAACUUCCGGUCGACUUCCUUCCCCCCUGGUUCUACUUUCACUUUCAUUUUAGCGUGAUUUUGGGUGGAGUGUGUCAAUUAACGGCGGAAGGGAGUUGUAUUUAAAGGGAGCGUAUCGUACCUGAAAGAGAGGCGUCAUUCGUUUGUUUGCACAUGAGGGUUGCCCGUAUGAGAGAUGGUUUACGGUGGAAAGACGGCUGCGUGUCAAUCCGCUGUUCCAUGGUUAUGAUGUCUGGUGCGUGACUGAAGCAUUGCACUUCCAGACCAACUGUCAUGAGCAGUCCUGAAGACAAGGCAAAAACCGCUUAUCCACCUAUCUUGGUGUCUGGUGACCCGCGAUACUCAUUGGUGCCUUCAAUACCUGCAAACGUGACCAGAGACCGCUAGUGGGAACGUGUGGUCAUUGCUUAUUUUGUUUUAUUUGAUUUAUUUGUUUGUUGUCCAUUUCGGUUUUCUGUGUUAUUAUGAUUGUGAACAUAUGGCAGAAUAAAUAUCCUGAUGACCUUUAGUCUGGGAUUAUUAUUAUAAUUUGUGUAACAGGUGGUUAUUUUUCUGCUAUCCUGGGUUAAGUUAAUUUUUGACAGGUUUAAUCCUGUCUGGCGCCCGAAGGUUUUUUUCUUCUUUAAAAUAGUAUUGGAAUUAGGGCGGCUACCACCGUUAUAAUAGAUAAUUACCUG